Molecule: long non-coding RNA, 1992 nt
Organism: Brienomyrus brachyistius
Lineage: Eukaryota; Metazoa; Chordata; Actinopteri; Osteoglossiformes; Mormyridae
Exons: 4
Source: RefSeq, a predicted model, not a curated record
GGAAAGAAAUGCUAAGUCUUCAGCCACAGAUCGAAUGAAUGAAUGAAUCAAUGAAUGAAUGAAUGUGGGGAACUGGCAAGACGCGUGCUCUUCUUCCUCUGCGAUUAUGCACCGUGCUUGCUGAAAGGCAACAGCGAACUAGUCAUCUACUAAGCAUACAGGUGUCGAUUAAUUCAAGUUGUGGACGUUUCAGCAUCAUCGUUCUCCACUAGCUGCAUUCCGCUGUUUAGAGUGAAGCCGCAGAUUGUAAGCCACUGAACUGAAAAGCGGAAGUAGCACUGAAAACUGUACCUUGCGGGUCCCCCUCCCUCCCCCAGGGGUGGAACGGUGGUGCAGUGGUUGGCACUGUUGCCUCACACUUCUGAGAUCAGGGUUCAUGUUUCCACCAAUGGCUCCACAUGUGCAGAGUUUGCAUGUUCUCCCCAUGUUGUCAUGGGGAUUCCUCCAGAUACUACAGUUACACCCCGCCCCUUCUACCACCACAGUCUAAAAUCAUGCUGAGGCUAAUUGGAGCUGCCAUAGGUGUGUGUGUGUGUGUGUGUGUGUGUGUGUGUGUGUGUGUGUGUGUGUGUGUGUGUGUGUGUGUGUGCGUGUGCUCUGCAAUGGGUUGGCGCCCCAUCCUGUGUUGUUCCCUUGUGCCCAUAAGCUCCAGACCCCCCAUGACCCUGAACAGGAAGGAUAUGCCAUUACUGAAACUGAAUGGAGAGAUGGAUGGACUUGCUUGCCUGCUCCCCCCACCACCACCACCCAUCUUCAGCCAGUCAUACUGAGGGAGACCCAGCACCUGUCUCCAUGUUUCCUAUACAUACAAGUUUGGUCUAAAAUUAACUUAAAUUCGUAUUAAAUCAGACUACAGGCAGCUGUUCCAUUUUUUUGUCAAUUAAAAGGAUACCUGUAUAUAUCUCUGCAUAAGAAAACAGAUGUUUUUAUCAUUUAUUUUUUGGCAAAGAUUUGAAAAGUGGGAAUGAAAAAGCUUAUUGAUGCAAAUCCAAUUAAAGAAUCACCUGAAAUAACCUGACAGAUAUACUGUAGUACAUUGUCACUUUUUUGAUAUGUGAAAAGUGUGGCGAUGCACCACAAACAAUUCUAUCUGGUCACUGAAAUAUACAGUAGAAAUAUUAAUCUGUCCAGUUUUUCAGUAUGAUCAGUGCACUGGCACUGGUGACUGUGUGCGCUGCGUGCCGAAAUGUACACAGAGCAGUGAAACACGUGCCCCGUGAACUACCAGCUUAUCUUGGCGUAAAGGUGACACCGUUUGGUGUCACUUAAAAUGAAAUCUCUGGAUUUCAUCACUCAGUUAAUAACAGUGAAGCAGUCUGCAGUGUCGAGUCUCAAAAAUGUAUAAAAAUGUGGGCAGGGAAAGACGCUUUAGCUGUUCUACGUCGAGACAAAACUAUGCCAGGAUUUGAAUGAUACAAUUCAAUAAGUACUCACCAAAGUGCCCCAAAGCAAACAGAACCCAUCAUGAAUGUGUAUAAGUAGAUGUUUACUAGCUUUCCUGGAGACCUAUUGUAUGGGCUGUCAGUGAAACCACAGCAUCUGCAGUUGUUCUCAAGUUCAGCAGAUCAGUUAUCUUUAAUAUGUAUGAGAAUGAUUAAUGGCAUUUUAUGUCUGUGCAUCUGUUAAGAAGGUUGCAUAAACCAAAUUACACAUAAAGUAUAUCAUAAAUGCCUCUAUGUGAAUUGAUUCAUGCAAAGCCCCCCGGUCCUUUUCACAGUCAUGAUAUUUUUUCUUGACUGGUGGCAGCCUGGCUUGAAACUGGAUGUGUUUCAUGUCUGUCACUAUAGUGAGUCUUUGUUCAGUCUUUUAUAUAUCAGACCCACACCGGAAUCGUGAAUUCAGGCCCUCUGUAGAGUUUGAACUUCAAAGUGGUCAGUAAGCUAAUAAAAGUCAAGCCUGGUACACUCAGCCGUCAAAUAUAGCACUGCUGAAGUGGAAAGCAAACGUAACGGAUGAUAUCAGUAUUGAAAAUGAAUUUGUGGAGGAAUUUCA